UUUCCUCGGUUUUCUUUUCUUAUUUCUUGAAUUUUUAUCGACUACCCUUUUCCGUGCUUCUUUCUUUUGAAUCAUCGAGUAUUUGCUUUUUAUUUUCUUUUCUUUUUCUUGAUUCAUCACUUUUUCUUUUUCUCUUGUUUUUGCACUGAUCAGUGCAUUUUGGAUGCACAUUCUUCCAUGUUUGUACUUAAGCAUUUUUUCGGUUUGCUUUGAUUAUUUUUAUGUUUUAAUGUGUUUUCAUAAUUUAUGUUAUUUUUGCACUUAUUUAAUUUUCGUAUUUAAUUUUCAGCAUUAA
RNAcentral lists this long non-coding RNA (295 nucleotides) under Lathyrus oleraceus (garden pea). RNAcentral describes it as "Pisum sativum (pea) long non-coding RNA (PSAT_LNC026509)". The record is from RNAcentral. Lineage: Eukaryota; Viridiplantae; Streptophyta; Magnoliopsida; Fabales; Fabaceae.